UGGGGAAUUUUGGACAAUGGGCGCAAGCCUGAUCCAGCCAUGCCGCGUGUCUGAAGAAGGCCUUCGGGUUGUAAAGGACUUUUGUCAGGGAAGAAAAGGGCGGGGUUAAUACCCCUGUCUGAUGACGGUACCUGAAGAAUAAGCACCGGCUAACUACGUGCCAGCAGCCGCGGUAAUACGUAGGGUGCGAGCGUUAAUCGGAAUUACUGGGCGUAAAGCGGGCGCAGACGGUUACUUAAGCAGGAUGUGAAAUCCCCGGGCUCAACCUGGGAACUGCGUUCUGAACUGGGUGACUAGAGUGUGUCAGAGGGAGGUAGAAUUCCACGUGUAGCAGUGAAAUGCGUAGAGAUGUGGAGGAAUACCGAUGGCGAAGGCAGCCUCCUGGGAUAACACUGACGUUCAUGCCCGAAAG
RNAcentral lists this ribosomal RNA (412 nucleotides) under uncultured bacterium. RNAcentral's name for it is "partial 16S ribosomal RNA". It matches the Rfam family "Bacterial small subunit ribosomal RNA", at positions 355 to 759 of the family's 1533-position model. The record is from RNAcentral.